CCUACGGGAGGCAGCAGUGAGGAAUAUUGGUCAAUGGGCGGAAGCCUGAACCAGCCAAGUCGCGUGAGGGAUUAAGGCCCUGCGGGUCGUAAACCUCUUUGCUGGGGAGCAGUGGUCCGGACGCGUCCGGCCCGGGAGAGUACCCGGAGAAAAAGCAUCGGCUAACUCCGUUCCAGCAGCCGCGGUAAUACGGAGGAUGCGAGCGUUAUCCGGAUUUAUUGGGUUUAAAGGGUGCGUAGGCGGGCAUUUAAGCCGGCGGUCAAAUGUCGGGGCGAAACCCCGGCCUGCCGUUGAAACUGGGUGGCUUGAGUGGGCGAGAAGUAUGCGGAAUGCGAGGUGUAGCGGUGAAAUGCAUAGAUAUCACGCAGAACCCCGAUUGCGAAGGCAGCAUACCGGCGCCCUACUGACGCUGAGGCACGAAAGUGCGGGUAUCGAACAGGAUUAGAUACCCCUGUAGUC
Molecule: ribosomal RNA, 459 nt
Filed under: uncultured bacterium
Lineage: Bacteria
Description: partial 16S ribosomal RNA
Rfam family: Bacterial small subunit ribosomal RNA
Source: RNAcentral